This is a long non-coding RNA of Acipenser ruthenus (sterlet), 1094 nucleotides long. RefSeq lists it as uncharacterized. The transcript has 3 exons. Lineage: Eukaryota; Metazoa; Chordata; Actinopteri; Acipenseriformes; Acipenseridae. The record is from RefSeq and is a predicted model, not a curated record.
GAGUAAAGAGCACAGUUGGGAGUGUGCAACCUUAAGAAGAAACAGGUCUGCCCUUUUGAAAGAAAGACGUGCGGACGCUGUGGUCCAGGUCCGAGACACGGCCGGGGAGGAAAACCCCAAAAGAGACGAAAGACAAAAAGAAAGAAAACAGGAUUGCACCUUCACCAGUGGGAAUAUGUCCUUCGAUACACAACCAUUCAAUUGAUUCCCAUGCUUCAGGCCAGAUGAUAUGGUGUUUAGACCUGGAUGGCUUGUGGUGACGUCAGACCAGGAAGGAUAAUGGACACAGACAGAACUGGUGUAUGAAAGCGCUGAUGCAUGAGUUUAAUUUACAAAUAAAAGACUUAAACACAAAACAAAACACUAGAACAAACAAAACGGCAUGGUGGCCAUAGACAAACAAAUAAUAACGAAAGCAAUUAUCGUGCUGGUGUUGAACCAGUAUGCGUAGCAAUUGUUUCUUUAUAUUUAACUAGCCAGCAGGAGAGCCACUGGGAAGCCUACCUCCGCCUUCUCGAGGUCUCGAGGGUGCCCUGCCUGCAGGGAGUGUGGGCACUUCCCGGUCAACUGCCCCCUCCAGGAGGAGGGGCUAGAGGAACAGCAGCCGGAGUACCCCGCACUUAGGUCAGUAUUGUCGCUGCCUCCACCGCCUGGGGGAGAAUAGCUGCUCCCACCUCCACUGACAGUAGGCACGUCCACACCAGGGCUUAGAGGAGAACCGCAUCAGUCCCCAGCAACCGAAGGAGCUGCAUCUGUCCCCAGCGACUGAAGGAGAGACACACCAGUCCCCAAUGACCGAAGAGGGAGAACGGCACCAGUUCAUAGUGACAGACUGUCGCGUUGGAAUGUCCAGUUGUGCUUUAAACCAUGUAUUGGAACUAAAUUUCCUGUGCCAUUAGAGGAAAAACAGCCCCAUAAAAGGAUAUUAUCACCUCCAUGCUUGACAGUAGGUAUGGUGUUCUUUUCUUUGUACGCCUCACCAGACUUUCUAUUAUUGUUAAAGGUGCCUCAACUAGCUAUUAAUUUAAUUUUCCUUGUCAGGGUACGAAUACUUUUGAAUUAGCAUUUUUUGGAGUGUUGCAGAACAGUUGCUG